ACGGCGGGUGCUAACGUCCGUCGUGAAAAGGGAAACAACCCAGACCUACAGCUAAGGUCCCCAAGUCAUGGCUAAGUGGAAAACGAUGUGGAAAGGCAUAGACAGCCAGGAGGUUGGCUUAGAAGCAGCCAUCCUUUAAAGAAAGCGUAAUAGCUCACUGGUCGAGUCGGUCUGCGCGGAAGAUUUAACGGGGCUAAGCCAUGCACCGAAGCUUAGGGUGUGCACACACAGGUGUGUACGCGGUAGAGGAGCGUUCCGUAA
Molecule: ribosomal RNA, 261 nt
Filed under: Bacillus sp. NTK074B
Lineage: Bacteria; Bacillati; Bacillota; Bacilli; Caryophanales; Bacillaceae
Description: partial 23S ribosomal RNA
Rfam family: Bacterial large subunit ribosomal RNA
Source: RNAcentral